Non-coding RNA from Physcomitrium patens, 2603 nucleotides. The record is from RefSeq and is a predicted model, not a curated record. NCBI's taxonomy places the organism in Eukaryota, Viridiplantae, Streptophyta, Bryopsida, Funariales, Funariaceae.
GCUCCGCAUGAACGAGUUUCCAUAUUUCCGCAUCCCAGCGAAACUCGGCUCAGAGAGCAAUAAAUAUCUACAUACCAUUACAAAUCGUACAACAAACUAAGAACGCAGGGCGAGGUGCAUCAGAUUUAAAGAGCUCGUUUAGAUUCCUCACUUGCCAUAGGACACAUAAUUAGUUCGCAUCAUUUACACUUGCCCUGAUCCAUAGCGAAACCCAACACACCUAGACUACACACAUUCGAAUAAGUCAGCAAUCUUAUCACAACUAACAGCAGCGAGAAGAGGUAAAAACCCGUAAUAGCUCUAAGAAUAAGACAUGCACAAAACUAAAAAGCUAGAUAUUGGUUUCGUAUCAUUGCAUGACAUAGUAAACCCUAAACCCUAAACCAAGAGAACAACAAUGAAAAAAAAUUUAAAACUAGACAAUCCCACACUCACAAACUGAAGCACUGCGUGAAGUUUGGAGGCAAGCCGAAGACCAUACGGCAAAGCGGAAGGGGACUGAACUCGGAACGAAGUUGGGAACAAAACUGGGAACAGCAGUUAGGGAACGAAAGUCUCGUUGAAGAAAGAGAUGAAAAAAGUAGAGAAGGAAGUUUCAUUCAUCUUACCUUCAUCUUCCAAAAUUUGUCCUUCAAUACUCGAAAUAGAUGGACGUUGGAUUUAUUUUAUGGAUGAAGAUAAAACGGAUGAACGCUUCAUGGGUCUGAGGCAUUGGGGCAUCGAGUCAAUACCGACACCGGGAGUUUCUCGAUUGCAAGCCUGUUGACUGAUCGGAUGCGAUGCAGAUUCCUUUCAAAGUGUUGUUGGAUGAUCUUGUGAUUUGUUUCUUUUGUGAGAGUAACCGAAAUUUUCGACAAUACAAUCACUUGUGCUCAGAGAUCGCCAGCGUAUCUUGUCGCCCUGCUUGAAUCCAAUUUUCCUCAUCUGUUGAACAAUUGUGUCAGGCAGCUGUAUGAGUUUUUUGCCGAAGCUGAUAUGGAGUUAAACUCAAGCUUGGUGAUCUGUGAUUCUAUCAAAACCAAUUGUAGUCUCUUGCUGGACUGUUGGAAGUUUGGUGCUAACAGGUCGUAGGCACAUCUGCAGUGGCUGCUCUCGCUGUGUCCAAGAGAUACAUUGCGGAGACGCAUUUUGAAUUGAGGAAGUGCAGUGCAAUUCGCAAUGAUUUUGAUCCCAAGAGUAGUCACUAGUUGAGCUUUUGUGUGGUGAGCAGAAUGGAAGCUAUCUGGGAAAACGUGCAACUUAUUUCAGUUGUUGAAUGCGCGUUCUGCAAUCUCUUCUUGGACCAUUAGCAAGUUGAUUUGGGCUUAGUAGCUUAUGCUCGUAGUAAUUACUUUUGACCACGAUUGUUUGAGAUGAUUCCAACAAUAUGAAAGGCAUUGAUUAGGGUAGAACUUAGUGCAAUUUGCAUGAUUAAUUGUGGAGUUAUGUGUUAUAGACUUAUCGAGAUCUCAAGCUGUUUAUCAUGUUAGUGUCUUGCUAGUGUUGAUUUUCUUGCUUUUUCUAGCAUACUCAGAUCAUCCAUGCCGUGAAUUUUAGGACUAAUGCCUAUGACUCAGUCACACACAUUAGUCAGCUCAUGGUAUUCUUGUUUGUCGUAUGAUUUGACUUUCUGGAUAGUAUUUGACCUCGAUUCUUCUGUUUUUUUGGGAUUGUUUCUUCAUUGAAGGACAUGUCUGGAUAUCCUCAAGUUCAGAGCUUGGAAGCACACCUUCACUUGCGUCCUGGUUUUGAUGUUCUUGUCAUGGAAGCUUUGCGCGAGUUUCUAUUGCUUGCAAAGAUUGGAGUUCGUUUACGCUUGGAGUUGCAGAGAACAGUCCUGAGUACUAACUAUGGCACAUUUAGAAAGCUUCAAAAUGGGAGGUCUGUGGACCCAUAAUUUUAUCUUUCAAAUGCAUGUGAUAUAUCUUGUGCCACGGCAGGGAUUCGUGAUUUGAUGAGGCAUAUCAUUCGGUUAGGAUCGCUCAAGUGGAGUAACAGAGUAUUUGUAGAGGGUGCCUACGUUUUGGGGUACAAUAUCUUACCCAAGAUUUUUCGACAGAGGAUUCUUUGAUCGAGCUGCAUGGAUACACAUGACUGAGCAAGGGAUCUGCUGAAAAAGUCAGCUGGUCUGGAGUUCCUCAGUGGAGCAGAAGAUAUUCUGAAUUCUGAAGUCAACCAAUCUGCUGAAGUAGUUGAUGUAAAGAGAACUGACAAUCAAAAGCAUUGCUCGAGAUAAGUUAGUAUUCCAUGAUUGGUUGAUGCUAGUGUGGAUUACAUUUCAGUGGGCAAUCUUAGAACAGGUUAGAUUUAGAGAAUGUUUGUGUCGAAUCUCCUUGGCAUUGUACUGUCUUCUCAGACGAGGUCUUGGAUUAUCUGCAUCACUUGCAUAGAUUACGGCGAGAGCUUGGAAGACCCUGCUCAGCGUCUUUAGAUAAAGUAUGGCGGAGGGGCUUUUGCUUGGAUAAUGGCCUCAAACGUCGUUACACAACGUUCUCAAGGAUAGAAUGUCGAUGACCAAGAUAGGAUGACCCAUUAAAGUUCCGAGUUGUUGUCUCUGAUACUCAUGUUAAAGAAAUUGACAGCCAUCGCCAAGGGAAAUGGAAGUUUCAAAGCGGAUUGAGUGA